CAUUGGGUCCUGAACUUCUAUGCAAAUAAGACAACCUUAAAAAAUGUAACUGAAAACCAGUAACUCAUGAUGUUUUGUCACAUUGCUUUAUUUUGAAAGGUCAUUAAGCCGAAACACUUUUUUAGGGCUUAGAGUUGUAAAGAAAUGUAGAAUAUUUUGUUCAGAAAUAUAAAGCGCACAGGUGACAUAAAGGUCACGUUCUUACUUGGAAACAAUGGCAUUACCGCCACCUGGUGCAAGAAAUAAAUAACAUUUUGUACAGUAAUAGUUAUUUGAAGGACAUCAUUACCCAGAACGUCAGGUCUGACAGGUAAGUGAACCAAUGGGCAUCAAAUAACUUGGAUGGACAUUUUGUUCACUGCAGAACAUAACGCACACACAUGUGCAACUGUGGACGUUCUGUUCCAACAGCAGAACAAAGGCUUUUGGGUCAGAAACCCUGUGAAGCACAACAACAGUCAGGACAUCUGCACUCGGCUUUAAAUUGAGAUCAAACCUCCCUCUGAGAUCACAGUUCCUGCCCUCACGUUGUAAUUGGCAGAUGGAUCUGAAACUUCCCUGGCUGUUUGUACACUAUUACCAGUGAUUUGGAUCCAAAACUACUUUUACAUUCUGAUUUUCUUCUUGUUGCUCCAUGGAAGGAAGGUUAGGGUUAAAGUUCGAGGUCUGGUUUUCGUGUGGAGCCAUGCAAAUCAGUGUUUCGUUGCUUCCCAAUGACAUAAAAAUAUUAGUUUAAUCUGUAAACCAGUGUUGCUGACAACCACCACUCAUGCUGCUCCACUCUGACUAUUACCAGGGGGAAAGUGUCCCUACGAGGAUAUAAAGAAACUAUUUAUAUGAGCAGGUCCUCAUCUUGUUGUAGCUUAUGCUCAGCAUUUAUUUUUAAUGUCUUGUACCAAAGUUGAAGUUAAAACGUCCUAACAUCUUGUUGUUGCUGACCUCCAGUGGUUUAGCUUCUCAUCCUUCUGCAGCGAUGUAGAAGUGUGUGUGUGUUAGUACAUUGUUACAUCACUAUUGAUCCAAACUCCAGACACUUUAAGGGUACAGGAAUACUGCGUUUCAGUGUGGUGUCAAUCUACUCUUCAUCCUGUAAAUGUUUAGUGCAUGCAAGCUAGAGAACAUGAAGAAGAUAAAUUGCAAAAUGGCAGAGAAGAAGAAGGAAAA
Long non-coding RNA from Cottoperca gobio, 1164 nucleotides. RefSeq lists it as uncharacterized. Lineage: Eukaryota; Metazoa; Chordata; Actinopteri; Perciformes; Bovichtidae. The transcript is spliced from 2 exons. The record is from RefSeq and is a predicted model, not a curated record.